RNAcentral lists this transfer RNA (57 nucleotides) under Philometra sp. HZ-2022. Its description in RNAcentral is "tRNA-Cys". Lineage: Eukaryota; Metazoa; Nematoda; Chromadorea; Rhabditida; Philometridae. The record is from RNAcentral.
AGUUUUGUAGUAUAGUUAUUAGUAUAGCCUAGUGCAGGUAGGCAGGGUGUAAAAUUU